Molecule: transfer RNA, 87 nt
Filed under: Ephemerocybe angulata
Lineage: Eukaryota; Fungi; Basidiomycota; Agaricomycetes; Agaricales; Psathyrellaceae
Description: Coprinellus angulatus tRNA-Pro
Rfam family: tRNA
About the family: Transfer RNA (tRNA) molecules are approximately 80 nucleotides in length. Their secondary structure includes four short double-helical elements and three loops (D, anti-codon, and T loops).
Source: RNAcentral
GGCCUGAUGGUCUAGUAGUAUGAUUCCUUGUUAGGGUGUUUGUUUACAAUCUCGAGGAGGUCCCGGGUUCAAUUCCCGGUCAGGCCC